AAAUGCAAUGUCAGUUAUUGUUGCACAACAAUUUUGUUGUUUCAAUGUGCUACACAAUACAGCCAGAAUGAUGCCUGAACAAGAGCUGCCGCCGUUAGAUGAAAUAAAUAUGGACCAAAUUAAUAAGAAGAGAAAUAAUAAAUUAUUUUGAAAGAUUAGGGCAAUAUUUUUUUUAACUUAUUCUAAACAUGUUUUUAUGUUGUUAUUAAAUCUCUUGAGUAUUAAUUUCUAUAAAAUAUCAUUAUUAAAUGUCUUUUAUUCAGAAAUAACAUACAUUACAUUUUUUACAUUACAAUAUAAACACUAAUUAAAAUUAUUAAAUAAGUUCUCUUUGAGAACUUUACUGUUCUUUUUUUAUUUCAAUGUCUAACAACCCUUUUUUUCUUUAGCUUAUGUUCUUCUCUGUUUUGAAUACUACUACUUUGAAUUUUGCCCAUCUCUAUAUUACAAAAGAACAGCCUUUUGUCUAGUAAAUUAAUAUCUUCCCUUUUCUUCUGUUUCUUUGUAACCAUCAGUUUUGUUUUG
Long non-coding RNA from Sitophilus oryzae (rice weevil), 525 nucleotides. RefSeq lists it as uncharacterized. The transcript has 2 exons. Lineage: Eukaryota; Metazoa; Arthropoda; Insecta; Coleoptera; Curculionidae. The record is from RefSeq and is a predicted model, not a curated record.